GAUGAACGCUGGCGGCGUGCCUAAUACAUGCAAGUCGAGCGAACAGAUGAGGACCUUUCUCCUCUGACGUUAGCGGCGGACGGGUGAGUAACUCGUGGAUAACCUACCUCUCAGAAUGGGAUAACUUCGGGAAACCGGUGCUACUACCGGAUAAUAUAUUGAUCUGCAUGGUUCACUAGUGAAAGACGGUUUUGGUGUCACUUAUAGAUGGAUCCGCGCCGCAUUUGCUAGUUGGUAGAGUAAAGGGUUACCAAAGCAACAAGUCGUAGACGCUCUGAGAGGGUAGACGCCCACACGGGAACUGAGACACAUCCGAGACUCCUGCGGGAGGCAACGGUCGGGAAUCAUCCGCGAUGGGCGAAAGCCUGACGGAGGAACACCGCGUGAAUGAUGAAAGUCUUCGGAUCGUAAAACGCUGUUAUUAGUGGAGUACAAAUGUGUAAGUAACUAUGCACGUCUUGACGGUACCUGAUCAGAAAGCCACGGCUAACUACGUG
RNAcentral lists this ribosomal RNA (497 nucleotides) under uncultured bacterium. RNAcentral describes it as "partial 16S ribosomal RNA". It matches the Rfam family "Bacterial small subunit ribosomal RNA", at positions 28 to 507 of the family's 1533-position model. The record is from RNAcentral.